AAAUACUCUUUUCUGGGCAUGCUUUUAUGCCUCUCUAUAGUGGACAAAAUUGUAGAAUGUCUGACAAGAAAUCUUGCUUUCUCAAAACUCGGAAGUGAAGAAUGAUAAGUCGGUUCUCAAAUGGAUUCUCCAACCACACUGCUUGGAAGGUAUAAUGGUACAUUGACUGCCAAAUAAACAUUUGUUGUAUUGUUAUCAUCUUGUGAGCAUGUUGCAGCUUCAUAUUUGGGCAUACGAUUUAAGCAUGAAUUUUGGCAUGGAAGUGGUUGAUAAAUAUAAUAAUAGGCACAAUUGUAAUUAUAAAUCUUAGGACAUGACCCGUUAUCGUACAAAAUUUAAAAUUGCUGACUGUCUCGCUAAUAUUGCAAGCGUAACAUUAUAUUUUCCUAAAUUCAAAGUUCUUCUCAUUUUUUAGGGGGGUGUGGUGUUCCUUUCACCACCUCGAGGAGGUCCAUUGUAUAAAGCAAAAGAAAGUUUCACUCUUGACUUGCUGAAGCCGAAAGAUGGGUAUGUGAUGAAGUUUGUCGAAGGUUUCUUGUCAAUGAAAGAAAUUG
RNAcentral lists this long non-coding RNA (554 nucleotides) under Olea europaea (common olive). RNAcentral's name for it is "long non-coding RNA (OEUR_LNC010364)". The record is from RNAcentral. Lineage: Eukaryota; Viridiplantae; Streptophyta; Magnoliopsida; Lamiales; Oleaceae.